GGCGCUAUAGUGUAGUGGUUAUCACUCAGGAUUCUGAUACGAAGUUUCCUGUAACCCAGGUUCGAGCCCUGGUAGCGCCU
Molecule: transfer RNA, 80 nt
Filed under: Coniophora puteana RWD-64-598 SS2
Lineage: Eukaryota; Fungi; Basidiomycota; Agaricomycetes; Boletales; Coniophoraceae
Rfam family: tRNA
About the family: Transfer RNA (tRNA) molecules are approximately 80 nucleotides in length.
Source: Rfam by way of RNAcentral